Molecule: transfer RNA, 365 nt
Filed under: uncultured Microcystis sp.
Lineage: Bacteria; Bacillati; Cyanobacteriota; Cyanophyceae; Chroococcales; Microcystaceae
Description: partial 16S-23S ribosomal RNA intergenic spacer
Rfam family: tRNA (bases 136-209)
Source: RNAcentral
AAAGGGAGACCUAAUUCCGGUAGGAGACGAAAAAAAAGUAGUCCCAACCAAGAAUCAAUCCCAAAAGGUCGGAGCGAGGCGAGAUUGGCUUUCAAACUAGGUUCUGGGUUCACACAAGACCUGAAUCAGGAACAAGGGCUAUUAGCUCAGGUGGUUAGAGCGCACCCCUGAUAAGGGUGAGGUCCCUGGUUCGAGUCCAGGAUGGCCCACCUGCACAGGUGGCAAAAACAAAGAAAAAAAGCUCCGAAUCAGCACCUUAUCUUACUUAUACAGUAAGAGAGAAUGCUGGCUCUGAGUUCAGAGUCCAGAGGAACCUUGAAAACUGCAUAGAGCUAGGUGAAAAAGCCAAAAAAGAAGACCGCAAG